CCUACGGGAGGCAGCAGUGGGGAAUCUUGCGCAAUGGGGGAAACCUUGACGCAGCAACGCCGCGUGGGUGAUGAAGGCCUUCGGGUCGUAAAGCCCUGUCAGGUGGGAAGAAACAUAUCGGUGCUAAUAUCACCGAUGUUUGACGGUACCGCCGGAGGAAGCACCGGCUAACUCCGUGCCAGCAGCCGCGGUAAUACGGAGGGGGCAAGCGUUGUUCGGAAUUACUGGGCGUAAAGAGCGCGUAGGCGGCCAGGUAAGUCAGGCGUGCAAUACUAUGGCUUAACCAUAGAACUGCGUCUGAUACUGCUUGGCUAGAGUACAGGAGGGGGAAGUGGAAUUCCCAGUGUAGCGGUGAAAUGCGUAGAUAUUGGGAGGAACACCGGUGGCGAAGGCGGCUUCCUGGACUGAUACUGACGCUGAGACGCGAAAGCGUGGGGAGCAAACAGGAUUAGAUACCCUGGUAGUCCACGCGGUAAACGAUGGGCACUAGGUGUGGGGGGUAUCCACUCCUCCCGUGCCGCAGCUAACGCAUUAAGUGCCCCGCCUGGGGAGUACGGCCGCAAGGUUAAAACUCAAAGGAAUUGACGG
RNAcentral lists this ribosomal RNA (588 nucleotides) under uncultured bacterium. RNAcentral's name for it is "bacterial SSU rRNA". It matches the Rfam family "Bacterial small subunit ribosomal RNA", at positions 338 to 916 of the family's 1533-position model. The record is from RNAcentral.